This 253-nucleotide ribosomal RNA is filed under the name uncultured bacterium. Its description in RNAcentral is "partial 16S ribosomal RNA". It matches the Rfam family "Bacterial small subunit ribosomal RNA", at positions 524 to 776 of the family's 1533-position model. The record is from RNAcentral.
UACGGGGGGGGCAAGCGUUGUUCGGAAUUACUGGGCGUAAAGGGCUCGUAGGUGGCCAACUAAGUCAGACGUGAAAUCCCUCAGCUUAACCGGGGAACUGCGUCUGAUACUGGAUGGCUUGAGUUUGGGAGAGGGAUGCGGAAUUCCAGGUGUAGCGGUGAAAUGCGUAGAUAUCUGGAGGAACACCGGUGGCGAAGGCGGCAUCCUGGACCAAGACUGACACUGAGGAGCGAAAGCCAGGGGAGCAAACGGG